GGCAAGUAUGGACAAAACAUUCAAGCUGGAUUCAGCUCUAAAUUUGGAUUGUUAUUAAAUAGUUGACACAGCAUAGGUUUCUGACACAGAAUGAAUGUGGUCUAAUGAACUUAAAAUAUUUUUUUUUGCCUUUGAGCAAUUCGCUAUGCUGUCGAAUAUUAAUCCUCUCAAAAAAAUGUUUGAAGAAAUUUUCUUUUUAUUUAUGAAAUC
RNAcentral lists this long non-coding RNA (210 nucleotides) under Mytilus galloprovincialis (Mediterranean mussel). Lineage: Eukaryota; Metazoa; Mollusca; Bivalvia; Mytilida; Mytilidae. The record is from RNAcentral.